CUCCGGGCUCAGAUUGAACGCUGGCGGGAUGCUUUUACACAUGCAAGUCGAACGGCAAAGCAUGGACUUCGGUCUGGUGGCGAGUGGCGAACGGGUGAGUAAUGUAUCGGAACGUGCCUAGUAGUGGGGAUAACUACGCGAAAGCGUAGCUAAUACCGCAUACGCCCUUCGGGGGAAAGCGGGUAGACCUUCGGGCCUCGCACUAGAGCGGCCGAUAUCGGAUUAGCUAGUUGGUGGGGUAACGGUUCUUCAAGGCGACGAUCCGUAGCUGGUUUUGAGAGGACGACCAGCCACACUGGGACUGAGACACGGCCCAGACUCCUACGGGAGGCAGCAGUGGGAAUUUUGACAAUGGGGAAACCCUGAUCCAGCCAUCCUGGCGUGUGCGAUGAAGGCCUUCGGGUUGUAAAAGCACUUUUUGGCAGGAAGAAACGGCAUGUGGGAUACCCGUGCAACUGACGGUACCUGCAGAAUAAGCACCGGCUAACUACGUGCCAGCAGCCGCGGUAAUAUGAAAGACCGGAAUUGGGCGUAAAGGUGGCGCAGGCGGUUCGGAAAGAAAGAUGUGAAAUCCCAGAGCUUAACUUUGGAACUGCAUUUUUAACUACCGAGUUAGAGGUUGAGGGAGGUGGAAUUCCGCGUGUAGCAGUGAAAUGCGUAGAUAUGCGGAGGAACACCGAUGGCGAAGGUAGCCUUCUGGGAUAACACUGACGCUCAUGCACGAAAGCGUGGGGAGCAAACAGGAUUAGAUACCCUGGUAGUCCACGCCCUAAACGAUGUCAACUAGCUGUUGGGGCCUUCGGGCCCGGUAGCGCAGCUAACGCGUGAAGUUGACCGCCUGGGGAGUACGGUCGCAAGAUUAAAACUCAAAGGAAUUGACGGGGACCCGCACAAGCGGUGGAUGAUGUGAUUAAUUCGAUGCAACGCGAAAACCUUACCUACCCUUGACUAUGUCCGAAUCCCGAAGAGAUUUGGGAGUGCCUGCAAGAGAACCGGAACACAGUGCUGCAUGGCUGUCGUCAGCUCGUGUCGUGAGAUGCUGGGUUAAGUCCCGCAACGAUGCAACCCUUGUCAUUAGUUGCUACGAAAGGGCACUCGCACGAGACUGCCGGUGACAAACCGGAGGAAGGUGGGGAUGACGUCAAGUCCUUCAUGGCCCUUAUGGUAGGGCUUCACACGUCAUACAAUGGUCGGGACAGAGAGGGUCGCCAACCCGCGAGGGGGAGCCAAUCCCAGAAACCCGAUCGUAGUCCGGAUCGCAGUCUGCAACUCGACUGCGUGAAGUCGGAAUCGCUAGUAAUCGCGGAUCAGCAUGUCGCGGUGAAUACGUUCCCGGGUCUUGUACAUUACGCUCCGUCAUACCAUGGGAGUGGGUUUUACCAGAAGUAGUUAGCCUAACCGUAAGGAGGGCGAUUACCACGGUAGGAUUCAUGACUGGGGUGAAGUCGUAACAAGGUAACCCCA
This 1464-nucleotide ribosomal RNA is filed under the name uncultured Bordetella sp. RNAcentral describes it as "partial 16S-23S ribosomal RNA intergenic spacer". It matches the Rfam family "Bacterial small subunit ribosomal RNA". The record is from RNAcentral. Lineage: Bacteria; Pseudomonadati; Pseudomonadota; Betaproteobacteria; Burkholderiales; Alcaligenaceae.